Long non-coding RNA from Falco tinnunculus (common kestrel), 1982 nucleotides. The record is from Ensembl. NCBI's taxonomy places the organism in Eukaryota, Metazoa, Chordata, Aves, Falconiformes, Falconidae.
GGGGAACCGGGUACAUCGGGCGUCCGCCGAUGUCGUGGGGCAGGGGCAGAGGGGUGCCCCGGGGGGCUGAGGCUGAUCCUCGGGAUGGGCGCCCCCCCCCCUCUUGGGGGGCCCAGGGAUAUGGGGUGCGCCUGGAGGAUGGAGGACCCCGAAAGUGCCGGGUGCCCUCAGGGAUACGGGCUGUGCCUGGGGAGAAGGUUUUGCAACCUCGCUUCCUCCCCGGGUGGCAUAAAUCGGACAGCGGAGGGAAGGGGUGCCAGGAGGCAGCACAGUGGUGGCUGCAGGUGAGGGACCUUCUGACUGGCCUGGCAGGACCCCCAGGUCUGGUGCUGCUCCACGUCCUCCCACACUCUGCACCGGAGCCCUUUGGGAGUGACACCUGGAUUUUUCCCUGUGCCCGGGUGCUUCCCGGUGAGAACCAACUUGGGACCAAGAGAAGACCCCAGAUUUGGGAGAACGGUGAGGGCAGCGAGUGGUGAGUCCCUGGUGUGUUCCACUGGAGAUCAGGGCUUUCCUUGGGCUGUGCUGGCUCCCCCAGCACCCGGCUGAGCCCCCUCACAUGUGGGGAGCCAGCUGGGCUGGGGGCCACAGUGGCUGCUCUGGCUGCCUGAGGGUCUGCCUGGUGCAGGGGGAGUGGAAGGCAGCAGGUGGGGCCACCUGGGACUGUGCUUAGAGCUCAUUUGGGGUGCAAACCUCUUGUGGUCCCCAGGGACAUCAGCUGUGGGUGCCGCAGGGGAGAAGCGCCCGCUCCCAUUUCCUUGCACAGCCAUGAAAUGAAAGGGCGCUUCCUCAUGGUGUAUCCCUCCUUCCUCCCCGUGGGAACCCCCGGGGCCACGCCAGUGUCCCCCAACCCUUCCAGGGUCAGGAGGGGAAAUGGGGUGCUGCUGGUUCUCCUGGCUGGGCUGGCUGUGGGGUACCUGCAGUUGAGGGAUACCCGGUCCUGCAGGAACCACUGUGAUUUUGGAGUGGGGAGGCAGAAAGAAGCAGCCAAAAAUAGACCGAGGGGAAGCACUGGUGUCUGGCUGUGCCCCGUGCCUGUGGCAGCCCCACUCGGGGGGACCUUGACCCAUCGGCAUUGCCAAGCCCUGGAGGGGCUCGGGGCCUCAGAAAUGGGGCAGAGGGGUGAAAUGAGUCUGGAUCCAUACUGGAAGAAGGCUGAAACCCAAUGGUCUUUGGGGAGGCAGGGACAAAGCAGGAUGUCCUACGUGUGAGGAGACAGGAAGAAUGACUGUCACCUGUGAUUUCCACAUCGUGGCUGAGCACAGGGGACAUGGGGACACCUGGCAGUGCCCGGCUGAGCAACAGGAAAACCAGAGAUGUGUAAUAUUUUCAAAGCCGCAAAGGGUGACAUGUCUCUCCAUCCGGCAGUGAAACCACCCGCACAGGGACAGGAUUGGGGCAGGGGAAGAAGGGCAUGAAACCACCUUCAGACAUUCCUCAGUGCCGCCAGCCCCAUGCACUGUGACUGCAGCCUCACCACCAGCUGGGCUGGCAGGAGGGGCAGCUCCAGCAGUGAUGCUUGAGGGGAUGGAGAAGCUGGAGGGACCCAGAGGUGCUUGGAGGAUUUUGGAGGUGCCUGAGGGACCCUGAGAUGCUCAAAGAGCUCAGAGGAUUUUGAAGGACCCACACACAAUCCAGGGGGACCCAGGGAUGAUGGAGGGGCCAGGUGUCUCCUGGAGGGAUGUGAUGCUGCAUUGAUAAGGGAGCCCUCCAACUCAGGAAGAGGUGGCUGGUCUGUGGGGUCCCCUUUCCUCUGUGGGGGACAAUGAAGGGACAGAGUUGGAGUGAAGUGCGGCAGACUGAGGGGUGCUGGGGGUGUUGUACAAAAAGACAUAUGAGGGUCAGUGUGCACCUGCAGUAGAGUGAUAGAGAGGGGCUGCCCACUGGCUGGGAAGGGACCUGGGGGACAAUGGAAAUGCCAGGGGACCCAGAGACACUGUCACCCCUGGCCCAUGCCACCCUCCCACCCCACCCUCAAGCUG